RNAcentral lists this long non-coding RNA (4531 nucleotides) under Anolis carolinensis (green anole). RNAcentral's name for it is "lncRNA (ENSACAG00000035492.1)". The record is from RNAcentral. Lineage: Eukaryota; Metazoa; Chordata; Lepidosauria; Squamata; Anolidae.
AUGCCACCUGGCACAGCAUAUAGACGUUUCACACUGUGGCGCAUUCCAGUGGUUAACAUGUUGCCAGUGACAAUUACACUCAUCCUUCCCAGCAACACAAUGAACUCCCUUUGUCCCAAAAUGUCUAUUGCGAAACUUCCAAGAGUCAUUCAAGAAGUCCUGGGAAACAUAGUUCAUGUACUUUCGUGGAAUCUUGAAAGUAAACUGAUGAUGGUUGAAAUUGUGAAUCUCCAACACAUAAGGGUCUUUAGAACUCUCUCCCUUGAAAAACAACCUUUGCCGGUUUCUUGGUUCGCUGCGAUUGGCGAUGACCCACAGGCUCAAGAUGUCUGUCUGUCUUCGGUGUGUCCAUUGGUCCUUUAGACUCUCCCGCAAACAGUAAUUCCAAUUGACCAAAUCUGGUGUUUUCCUGAGGUAAAUCUUUUGUUAAGGCACAGUCACUUUUCAAACCAUAACUCUUUAUAACAACAUUCAUUUCUUUAUAGUGCUCAAGUAAAUUAUUCUCAUCAAUGACUGGCACUUAUACAUUCUUCACCACCUCAGUUUGCUCCACUCCUGUGUCACUACGGCACUGAACAGGGAUCUCAGCCACUGGUGCCUCAUUUGCCUCAGCCUCGCAAUGAAUCUCAAGCUGCAACUCGGACAAUUUCUCUUGGAGGUCUACGAUUCCUCCAUCUCCAGCAGAACCCUCUGCUUGGUUGAAAUGAGAGCUUAUAAGAUCAUUAGGGUCGUUGUUUUGAGAUGCCUUCGACUCUAAAGGAUAAACUUCUACUUUAUAGUACUUGAAAUACUCUCCAUACUCCACAACCUUUCUCUCAAUUGGUCGCUGUCCCUCUAUACAUCCAUACCAAUUGACUAACUUAUUCCAGGCUACAAUAGGAAUCACCUCAUAGUCCACUUUUGUCGCACCUCAGGCUAAGUUCACCUUGCUAUAGAUACCCAGUCAGACACACAGGUAGUCUUUUGAGGUUUUUUAUUAAGCAAAGCAGAAUAUAAAUCAAGCAAGCAAUCAAAAGGUAAUUCAAAGUUGUAGUGAAAGAGUCAAUAGGUCCAAUAGAUUCACAAGAUAUAUAAAUGUCUAAUAAUCCAAAAGGCUAGGUCCAUAGGUUCAAAGAGCAUAGCAAGUACAAUAAUCCACAAGGCAAGGUAUUAGUCCAUAGAGUCCAAAGAACAAGGCCCAAGGAUCCAAGAACACUGGCAAGGUAAAACAUCCACACAGAUGAAGCGAUUAAUUGCUCUGACAAAGAGUAAUCUGUAAAAACACACUUUAAUAACAACUCAGAAAGGCGUUUCUUUUCCCACAGCUAGACUUUUUCCCACAGCUAGACUCUCGUUUGCGCACUAAACGCUCACUUCUACGAAACUGGGAACCCAUCCAAGACAAACGGUCCUCUCUGGAUAACUCAUUGCCUGCGCUACCGUUAUCUUGCACCUGGCCUGGAGCUAAACCGUUUCCCUCAUUAUUUUCCAAAGCUGAAGUCUCUCCCUCAUCAUUUCUCAAGGGAAGAAUGUCAGCCUGACCGUUAUCUGUUUCUCCUGGAAUCAGCAGUUCAUCCUGCUCAAACCGAAACUGCAUGUCUGAGCUAACUUCAGCCUCAGACUGCUGAUCUUGAAUCCCAAAACCAGAAUCCCCUUCGUCUUCAUCCAGAAUCUGGCCAGCCUGUGGCUAGGAUACAAUAACUUUAUUAAUGCGAUAUUUUUUCAAAGUCUGAGUUUCCGAAUCCACAAAAAGCUUCGCGUUGUCAAUGGGUCCUGGGUAGUGAUUAGGCUUUCCCGCAUAAUACAGAUCCCAGAGUUCAAAACCCAUGUACUUCUUCCACUUCAUGAACCACUUAAAGUCAAUCAGGCACCAAGAAUCCCCUGAGCACAAUGGCAUUUUCAAAGUGGUGCGAGCUCAAUCCGCUGCAUCUCCACAUCCUCCUCCUCCUUAGUGUAUUUAGGAAACCUCUUUAAGGCUAAAUCACUAGGAUUAAUAAUGGGAGUCCAUGGUGGUGACACCACAGAAGGCUGAGAGAGUAUCAACCUUUGUCUUUCUAUUUCUAACUCCAUUUUUCUCAACUCUGCCUGUCUUUCUCUCUUUCUUUCUUCUGCCUGUCUGUCUUUUUCCUUCUCUCUUUCUUUUGCCUGUCUGCCUUUCUUUUUCUCUCUUUCUUCCAUUUCUAAUCUCCUUAGUUCCAGUUGAUAUUUAAGAGUCAAUUCUGACAUGGUUACUUGCUUUGAGUCAGAACUUUCUUCCCCCUGACACACCUCUGUUACCUUUUUCUGUCUUUUGGUGGCCAUUUUCUACAAAUUUUACCUCACAAAUUUCUCUGUGAGCGAUCUUAGGCACCAAAUUGGAGAUGUUACUCGAAAUAUCCCGCCACUUGCCGCCAAUUUGUGGAGAACUCAGGCAGGGGGAAUAUUUUGAAAUCCCACCGCUGCCACCAAAUGUAAAGAACUCAGGCAGAGGGGAAUCUUUUUAAAAAAUCCCACCUCUGACACCGAUUGUGUAGAAGGAUGAUGUUUCUAUUAAUUAAUUAUUAUAUAUAUUAUAUAUAUCCGCUGCCACCAGUUAUUAAAGAUGUCUUGUUUAAACGCAUGACUGGACUUAACGUCAGGGGAAAACCUUUACCUUACCUAAUUUAUAUUGUGUCCCAUUUGCCAUCCCACCCCUGCAAUAAGAGACCAGACAGCAGUGUAGAUUGAAACAUGGCCAACUUUUAUGUAAAACAUCUGAAUUAACUUUACACCUAUCCCUUUCCCCUACUCCCUCCCCCCUUCCCACUCCUUCUCACCCUUUUUACCCUUCACUAACUCUCACAAUCUCUCUCCUUUUUAUUUCUUCCUUUCUCCCUAUCUUAUUUCUUCCUUUCUCCCUAUCUCCCCUUCUUCCUUCUUCUUGACCAGAAUCGGAGCGCACUUGGAUUGAAUCUUCGCUCUCAGUUUCAGAGGUCUUUCUUCUUCUUAAUUGAGAUUGCAUUAUUUUCUUCUCAAUGCUAAGGAUAUCCUUCAUACAUUUGUUGAUUUCAUCAGUGCUUUUCAGCAACUGUUCCAGCAUUUUUGUAUGAUGCUUUAUCCAUUCAUUUUCCGUUUCUAAAGCGCCUGGUGUCUCUCUCAUGGCCUGACUGGCCUGGGAAAAAUGACAAACAAGAUCAUUUUAUUAACUUAAGGAAAAGAUCUUGGAAUCUGAAAACAAGAUGAUCACAAAGUUAUAUAAAAAAACUAUUGGAAUGGGACACUGAAACAGAGCAUGUAAAGAUAUGCAUGACCCAAUGGGCAAGGGAUAUUGGAAGACCAAUCUUGUAUGAAGAAUGGGAAAAGAUCUGGAAUAAAAAUAUAAAAUUCAACUACGUCUCGGACCUAAAAGAAAACCAGUACAAAAUGAUGUAUAGAUAGUACAUAACACCGAAAAAGUUAGGACAUUAUAAGAAAGAUAUACGCACAAAAUGCUGGAAAUGCCAGGAGCAAGAGGGAAAUUUCUUCCAUAUGUGGUGGGCAUGCACAAAAACAAAGAAGUACUGGAAAGAAAUACACAAAGAAUGCCGAAAAAUACUGAAAAAAAGACAUUCCAUUCAGACCAGAAUUAUACCUGUUAGGGCUGACAAAUACAAAAUUAGGAACAAAUGAGGAAAGGAUCCUAAAUUAUCUAGUCACGAGUGCCAGAAUUGUUUUUGCUAGACUAUGGAGACUAAACCAAAUACCAAUGAUGGAUCAAUGGCUAUUGAAGAUAUGGGACAUAAGGAACAUGGAUAAACUGACAUUCCUAAUGAAGAAACAACAAGGGAGUCCAAUGAAAGAAACGGACUGGUCGAAUUUCGAGGAAUACAUAAGACAAAGAAAGGAAUAAAAGCAUCCUAAGAAACAGGAUAUUAGACAAAAAGUGAAGAAAACACUUAAAGAAUAGUAGGGCAACUGGUAUAAGAAGAAACGGAAAUUCACUGACGGAAACCUGCAGAGUUCACCAAAAGAAGAAGUCCCACUCCUAAUCAAAUCAUCCCACAUACUCCUUCGCCCUCCCCCCCUACCCUGCAUGAAGCCCCCCUUUCCCUACACCCCCCCCAAGCCAACUCACCCCCCUUCCCCCACUGUGUGAUUAAUCCCCCGGUUUUAAACAAUGUAAUAAAAGCUUUCAAUAAAAAGUAUUAAAAAAACUUAAGGAAAAAACAAAUAAACAGAGGUUUAUCAAAACGGCCAUUUUACUAUCCCUAUCUUUGUGUCUCUUAACAGAAGCUUGAUGUGUAGAUAGUAAGCAUAGAAAGCAUAGAAAUCUUACCUUAACGUUUUUCAUAAGUUUCCGUAAAAUGUAGCAUGUAGAUAUACCAAUCACGGUGAUGAGUAGCAACGCACCACAAAUAAACAUCUCUAUGGUCUUUUCUGUAAUGUCUAAACCAAAAAUGCUAGUACAGACAUUGGAAGGAUCCCUCUUCCACAGCUGCUGUCGUUCCUGUGGUGGCAAAUCGAAACCAGUUGUUGCCCAGGCUGGUAUUUCAUGACUGAGAACAUUCUCCACGAAGACGACAGACCCCAACAGAAGCACAAAAGAGCAGCCUCC